This 563-nucleotide ribosomal RNA is filed under the name uncultured bacterium. RNAcentral describes it as "bacterial SSU rRNA". It matches the Rfam family "Bacterial small subunit ribosomal RNA", at positions 84 to 642 of the family's 1533-position model. The record is from RNAcentral.
CCUGGCGACGAGUGGCGGACGGGUGAGGAAUACAUAGGAAUCUGCCUGUUAGUGGGGGAUAGCCCGGGGAAACCCGGAUUAAUACCGCAUGAGCCCUACGGGGGAAAGAGGGGGAUCGCAAGACCUCUCGCUGACAGAUGAGCCUAUGUCCGAUUAGCUAGUUGGCGGGGUAAAGGCCCACCAAGGCGACGAUCGGUAACUGGUCUGAGAGGACGACCAGUCACACUGGGACUGAGACACGGCCCAGACUCCUACGGGAGGCAGCAGUGGGGAAUAUUGGACAAUGGGGGCAACCCUGAUCCAGCAAUGCCGCGUGUGUGAAGAAGGCCUGCGGGUUGUAAAGCACUUUCGGUGGGGAAGAACGCGCUUACGAUUAAUACUCGUGAGCAGUGACGGUACCCAAAGAAGAAGCACCGGCUAACUCUGUGCCAGCAGCCGCGGUAAUACAGAGGGUGCAAGCGUUAAUCGGAAUUACUGGGCGUAAAGCGCACGUAGGUGGUUAUUUAAGUCGGAUGUGAAAUCCCCGGGCUUAACCUGGGAACUGCAUUCGACACUGCAUAGCU